Long non-coding RNA from Calliphora vicina (urban bluebottle blowfly), 941 nucleotides. RefSeq lists it as uncharacterized. The transcript is spliced from 5 exons. The record is from RefSeq and is a predicted model, not a curated record. Lineage: Eukaryota; Metazoa; Arthropoda; Insecta; Diptera; Calliphoridae.
UUAAAAAUUAAAUAAGUGAACUCUGUGAUCAAAAAUAAUGGGAUAACUGGAAAAUUAUUAAUAUAGUGUGCGACGAAAGUAAUUGCUCAAAUAUUUUAAUUGUUCAUAUAAAAAAAAAGGAAAUGUUGAGAGUGAAAAUAAAUUUUAUGAAAAUUUAAUUCCUAUAUGGAAAUUAAUGUGAACUGUGGCCAUAACCAUUUAGUAACCAAUCCAAAAGAAAAAUUAUUAAAGAAAACUUAAAAAAAAAUAUCAAACCGAUCCUAAAUGGGUAAAAUAAAAGAAAAGUGAAAAUAAAAUUAUUUCUCCAAUUAUAAUAUCUUUUGUUUUAAUUCAAAAUUAAUAAUUUUAUAAAUUUUCUUUUACUUUCAGCUAAUAAAAUUCAAUUGGACCUGGGAUUUGGCCUUGGUUAGCUGCUUCCGUUCAGGAAAGGCUACAAAUUCAGAUGGGACCUGGACCGGAAAACUAAAUAUGAAAUAAUUUGGACCAAAUUAUGAUUCAAAAAGGUGUUGGUAACAAUUCGUAUUUCCUACAGAAAAACAGCGAGACUGAGGAAGAAGCAACACACUGAGGAAAAGAUCCCUGUCAGCGAGAAUAAAAUCGCGUUACUGCUUUCCCGCUCUAUUCCCUGGCGGCCAACUAAUUUUGCGGAAGAAUCUCCCGGGUGAGGAUAGGGUAGAUGGAUAUUUCCUGUCAGUGACGUGUCUAAAUGUCUAAGUGGUUCGAGGAGAAUUACCUAUAUAAGAUUUAGGAAAAUCUUGGGUUAAUUAACCUCGCGACUCACUGUUCCCUAGGCCAGAGCUCUAACCUAACUCGCGCACGCGUGGUUAAGGUUCACACGCGGGAUGGACUUUGCGAUACUUAAGACUUCCUAUUUUUUUAUAUAAAUAUCUCACUAAUCACCUUUUUUUUAUUUUAUAAAUAUUUCUUUUUUUUUUUCUUAU